CAGGUCAAUGGUCCUGUUUGUUCAUCCAUUCAGCCAGUCUAUGUCUUUCAAUUGGAGCGUUUAGUCCAUUUACAUUCAGUGUUAUUAUUGAUAAGUAAGGGCUUAUUCCUGCCAUUUUGUUUUCUGAUUGUUUUGUGGUCUUCUCCUUCUUCUAUCUUUCCUCCCUGUCUUCCUCUAGUGAAGGUGAUUUUCUCUGGUGAUAUGAUUUAGUUUCUUGCUUUUUAUAUUUUGUGUACCCAUUGUAUGUUUUUUGGUUUGAGGUUACCAUAAGACUUGCAAAUACUAUCUUAUAACCCAUGAUUUUAACCUGAUAACAACUUAACACUAUCUGCAUAAACGAAUAAGCAAAAAGAAAACUAAUAAAGACUCUAUGCCUUCACUUCAUCCCUGUUUUUUAACUAUUUCUCCUUCAUGUUUGAAGGAUAUUUUCACUGGAUAUACUAGGGUAAAAGGUUUUUGUGUUUUUUUUUCCUUCACCACUUUAAGUAUGUCAUGCCUCUGUCUCCUGGCCUGUAAGGUUUCUACUGAAAAGUCUGCUGCCAGACGUAUUGGAGCUCCAUUGUAUGUUAUUUGUUUCCUUUCUCUUGUGGCUUUUAGGAUCUUUUCUUUGUCCUUGACCUUUGGGAUUUUGAUUAUUAAAUGCCUUGAGGUAGUUUUCUUUGGGUUAAAUCUGCUUGGUGUUCUAUAACCUUCUUGUACUUGGAUAUCAAUCUCUUUCUUUAGGUUUGGGAAGUUCUCUAUUAUCCCUUUGAAUAACUUUCUACCCCUAUAUGUUUCUCUACCUCCUCUUCAAGGCUAAUAACUCUUAGAUUUGCCCCCUUUGAAGCUAUUUUCUAGAUCCUGUAGGGGUGCUUCAUUGCUUUUAUUCUUUUUUGUCUCCUCUGACUGUGUAUUUUCAAAUAGCCUGUAUUCGAGCUCACUAAUGCUUUCUUCCGCUUGAUCAAUUCUGAUGGUAAAGGAUCCUGGUGCAAUCUUCAGUAUACCAAUUGCAUUUUUCAGCUUCAGAAUUUCUGCUUGAUUCUUUUAAAUUAUUUCAGUAUCUUUGUUAAAUUUAUCUGAUAUAAUUCUGAACUCCUUCUCUGUGUUUAUCUUGAAUUUCUUUAAGUCUCCUCAACACAGCUAUUUUGAAUUCUCUGUCUGAAAGGUCACAUAUCUCUGUUUUUCCAGAAUUGGUUCCUGGUGCCUUAUACUUAGUUCAUUUGGUGAGGUCAUGUUUUCCUGGAUGCGGUUGAUGCUAGUAGAUGUUUUUUGGCGUCUGGGCAUUGAAGAGUUAGGUAUUUAUUAUAGUCUUCUCUGUCUGGGCUUAUUUGUAGCCAUCCUUCUUGGGAAGGCUUUCCAGAUUUUGAAAAUACUUGGAUGUCGUGAUCUAAGCUGUAUCUGCUUUAGGGGGCACCCCAAGCUUAGUAAUUCUGUGGUUCUUGCAGACUCGUAGAGGUACUGCCUUGAUGGUCUUGGAAAAGAUCCAGGAGAAUUCUCUGGAUUAUCAGGCAGAGACUCUUGUUCUCUUCCCUUUCUUUCUCCCAAACAAACAGAGUCUCUCUCUCUCUGUUCUGAGUCACCUAAAGCUGGGGAUGGAGUGACAAAAGCACCCCUGUGACCACCACCACUAUGACUGCACUGGGUCAGACCUGAAGCCAGUACAGCACUGGGUCUUGCCCAAGGCCUGCUGCUCUAAACUCCAUGGCUAUUGCCUAUGUUCACUCAAGGCCCUGGGGCUCUACAAUCGGAAGGUGGCAAAGCCAGCUAGGCCUGUGUCUUUCCCUUCAGGGCAGCAAGGUCCCCUAGGCCUCAGGUGGGUCCAGAGGUGCCAUCUGGGAGUCAGGGACUAGCGUCAAAAAGUUUAGAAGUCUACCUGGUGUUCUACUGUAUUGUGGCUGAGCUGGCACUCAAACCACAAGCAGCAGUCCUUCCCACUCUUCCCUCUCCUUUCCAAAGGCAGAGGAGCCUCACCCCAUCCACCACCACCCCAGGCCGUGAGGAGUACUGCCAGACUACCAGCCAAUGUUCCCUUAAGACCCAAGGUCUCUUAAGUCAGGUCGUGGUGAAUGCUGCCUGGCCUGGGACUCACUGUUCAGGGCAAUGGGCUCUCCUCUGGCCCAGGACACAUCCAGAAACGCUGUCCAAGAGUCAAGUCCUGGAAUCGAGGACCUCAAGGGCCCAUCUGGCGCUCUACCCCACUGUGGCCGUGCUGGUACUUGAAGCCAGCAAGUCUCAGAGGCUCACCCAAGGCCCUCAACUUAUAGUACCUGGGUAUCACUGCUGGUUAUUGAGGGCCCAAGGGCUCUUCAGUUAACAGGCGAUUGAGAAUGCUUCCAGGACUGGGUCCUUCCCUUCAAAGUAGCAGGUUCCCUUCUGACCCAGGGUGUGUCCAGAAAUGUCAUCUGGGAGCUUGGCCUGG
This 2398-nucleotide long non-coding RNA is filed under the name Homo sapiens (human). Its description in RNAcentral is "non-protein coding lnc-DBH-5:1". The record is from RNAcentral. Lineage: Eukaryota; Metazoa; Chordata; Mammalia; Primates; Hominidae.